GACGAACCGUGCGAACGUUGUUCGGAAUCACUGGGCUUAAAGGGCGCGUAGGCGGGCAAGCAAGUCCGGGGUGAAAUCUUUCGGCUCAACCGGAAAAGGGCCUUGGAUACUGCUUGUCUUGAGGGAGGUAGGGGCAUGUGGAACUUCCGGUGGAGCGGUGAAAUGCGUUGAUAUCGGAAGGAACGCCGGUGGCGAAAGCGACGUGCUGGCCCUCUUCUGACGCUGAGGCGCGAAAGCUAGGGGAGCGAACGGG
Molecule: ribosomal RNA, 253 nt
Filed under: uncultured prokaryote
Description: partial 16S ribosomal RNA
Rfam family: Bacterial small subunit ribosomal RNA
Source: RNAcentral